Molecule: ribosomal RNA, 1048 nt
Filed under: Klebsiella pneumoniae
Lineage: Bacteria; Pseudomonadati; Pseudomonadota; Gammaproteobacteria; Enterobacterales; Enterobacteriaceae
Description: partial 23S ribosomal RNA
Rfam family: Bacterial large subunit ribosomal RNA
Source: RNAcentral
GACCAUCCUCCAAGGCUAAAUACUCCUGACUGACCGAUAGUGAACCAGUACCGUGAGGGAAAGGCGAAAAGAACCCCGGCGAGGGGAGUGAAAAAGAACCUGAAACCGUGUACGUACAAGCAGUGGGAGCACCUUCGGGUGUGACUGCGUACCUUUUGUAUAAUGGGUCAGCGACUUAUAUUCUGUAGCAAGGUUAACCGUAUAGGGGAGCCGCAGGGAAACCGAGUCUUAACUGGGCGUUAAGUUGCAGGGUAUAGACCCGAAACCCGGUGAUCUAGCCAUGGGCAGGUUGAAGGUUGGGUAACACUAACUGGAGGACCGAACCGACUAAUGUUGAAAAAUUAGCGGAUGACUUGUGGCUGGGGGUGAAAGGCCAAUCAAACCGGGAGAUAGCUGGUUCUCCCCGAAAGCUAUUUAGGUAGCGCCUCGUGAACUCAUCUUCGGGGGUAGAGCACUGUUUCGGCUAGGGGGUCAUCCCGACUUACCAACCCGAUGCAAACUACGAAUACCGAAGAAUGUUAUCACGGGAGACACACGGCGGGUGCUAACGUCCGUCGUGAAGAGGGAAACAACCCAGACCGCCAGCUAAGGUCCCAAAGUCAUGGUUAAGUGGGAAACGAUGUGGGAAGGCACAGACAGCCAGGAUGUUGGCUUAGAAGCAGCCAUCAUUUAAAGAAAGCGUAAUAGCUCACUGGUCGAGUCGGCCUGCGCGGAAGAUGUAACGGGGCUAAACCAUGCACCGAAGCUGCGGCAGCGACACUAUGUGUUGUUGGGUAGGGGAGCGUUCUGUAAGCCUGCGAAGGUGUGCUGUGAGGCAUGCUGGAGGUAUCAGAAGUGCGAAUGCUGACAUAAGUAACGAUAAAGCGGGUGAAAAGCCCGCUCGCCGGAAGACCAAGGGUUCCUGUCCAACGUUAAUCGGGGCAGGGUGAGUCGACCCCUAAGGCGAGGCCGAAAGGCGUAGUCGAUGGGAAACAGGUUAAUAUUCCUGUACUUGGUGUUACUGCGAAGGGGGGACGGAGAAGGCUAUGUUAGCCGGGCGACGGUUGUC